AGAAAGAGAGAGAAAAGAAGAAGGAGAAAGGAGUGGAGGCCCGUUGAAAUUUCCUUCGCGCGGGCUAGAACAGAGCGAAUUUCCAUAAAGGAAGAGAAGACACGGUCCCGGAUCCUUCCAUGGACGCCUCACUCUCUCCAGGCCUCUCCACUUGCCCGAGAUCUCGGCUGGCCACCAGGAGACGGACACGGAAGGAGCUUGUGGGCUGCAGGGCUUCCCAGAGUCCAGCCACCUCAGCCCUCUUUGGGGGGAAUAUCGGUGCCAGACCCCUCUGCGCCCUGUCAUAUGUGACUGCGCUCACGUCAGGAUUAUCUUACAAAGAAGAAGAAGGAAAGCCGGGUGUUUAUAGCUAGUUCUGCUGAUCCGUUCACAUCUGGAGAGUUUAUUUAUAACUCCCACUAGAACUCUCUCUGUUUGGAAGCACUGGUGGCUCAAUUGACAGACUGAUGCCUAGAAAAUAUUGCUCUAUCUCUAACCAUACCUAAAUGUGCUGUGGUUGUAUUUACAGAUUUAUGCUCGAGGAAAAUAUAAUUAUUUCCAUUGUG
Molecule: long non-coding RNA, 545 nt
Organism: Eptesicus fuscus (big brown bat)
Lineage: Eukaryota; Metazoa; Chordata; Mammalia; Chiroptera; Vespertilionidae
Exons: 2
Source: RefSeq, a predicted model, not a curated record